RNAcentral lists this ribosomal RNA (2085 nucleotides) under Planctomycetaceae bacterium. Its description in RNAcentral is "bacterial LSU rRNA". The stretch from base 1 to 1263 matches the Rfam family "Bacterial large subunit ribosomal RNA", at positions 839 to 2044 of the family's 2925-position model. The record is from RNAcentral. Lineage: Bacteria; Pseudomonadati; Planctomycetota; Planctomycetia; Planctomycetales; Planctomycetaceae.
CUGGAAAUAGCUGGUUCUCGCCGAAAUAGCUUCAAGGCUAGCCUCGGAGCGUACCCCGCGGGGUAGAGCUACUGGAUGGGUCCUUCCGGCUUUGUGCCGGAGUAUCCAACCAAACUCCGAAUACGCGAGGGGAGACUCCGAGAGUCAGAACAUGGGGGCUAAGCUCCAUGCUCAAAAGGGAAACAGCCCAAGACCGCCGCCUAAGGUCCCUAAGUGCGGAUUUAGUGGCAAAGGUUGUGGAGGACCACAAACAGCGCGGAUGUUGGCUUAGAAGCAGCCAUCAUUCAAAGAACGCGUAACAGCGCACGCGUCGAGGUUCUCUGCGCCGAAAAUGUAACGGGGCUAAACCGCCACCGAUGGCGCGGACACUGGUACAUUCGUACCGGUAGUGGUAGGCGAGCAUUCCACUCAGCGUAGAAGCUUCAGCCGCGAGGCGGAGUGGAGCGUGUGGAAGAGAGAAUGCUGGCAUGAGUAACCUGACAUACCGUGAAAACCGGUAUCACCGAAAGUCCGAGGUUUCCUGGGCAAUGGCGAUCAACCCAGGGUUAGUCGGUCCUAAGACGAGGCCGAAAGGCGGAGUCGAUGGACAGCAGGUUAAUAUUCCUGCACUUCUGUAUAGUUGCAUGGGGCACACGUUGUGUGUAGUUGGCACGGGCUAUGGAAUGUCCGUGGGGGCGUAUCAAGUGGCAUCUCAGGUAAAUCCGGGAUGCUGCCCUUUUACGAGGGCAACACGAAAUGCGAUCCACCUCCAAUCCUACGGGUGAGGAGCGGCCAAUGAGGCACAGCGGCAAGAAAACCCUCGUUUGCGUUAACUAUACGGAAUCCGUACCGCAAACCAACACAGGUGGACUGGUGCGUAAUGCACCGAGGUGAUCGGUAGAACCCUCGUUAAGGAACUCGGCAAAACAGCGGGCGUACCUUCGGUAUAAGCCCUGCCUGUAGUACGGCGUCGGAUUUCCGACGUUUGAAUCAGGCCGCAGCGAAAGACUCCUGGCGACUGUUUACCAAAAACACAGGUCCCUGCUUAACCCGUAAGGGGAUGUAUAGGGGCUGACGCCUGGCCAGUGCCCGUCAGUUAAUCCGCGAGGUUGGUAGCUUCGCGUCUAAGCUCGGGUGAACGCCGGCGAUAACUAUUAACGAUAGUAGUUUAAAAAUUCGGCUGUAUGCUGGAAACUCCGAGUAUCUCGCGCUACGAUUUAUCGUAACAACGCGCGAGUGCGGACAAUCAGCAGGAAACCAAUAAAGGGAUCCUCAGAGACUAUACGCCGAACCCCGUUGAAAUGGGGAUGAUAUAGUCCGACCCCUAUGGCGACAUGGGGAGCACGGCAGAAAUGACCGUGCCACCUUAGACAAGGGAGUAACAACAGUGAAUCGUCCUAUGGUAGGAAUGCUGCCAUAGUAAAACUUGGCUAUAUGCUGGAAACCCUGAGUAUCCUGUGCUACAACAUAAAUAUGUGAUAUACUGAACAUAAUAAGAACAGUUAUCCACAUAUCAUGCGUAAAAAAGCAUCAGGUGCAGGCAAUCAGCAGGAAAGAUCACCUAUUGAAAUAAUAAUAUCUCCAAAUAUUGGAUGGUAUCUCUCUGGAUUCGCAGACGGUGAAGGAAGUUUCAAUGUAUCAACUAUAAAUCGUAAUCAAGACUAUCGUUCUGGGUGGAAGAUCGUCGCAACUUUUAACAUAUCUCAGCGCGAUCACUCAGUCCUAUACCUAUUUCAAAAAAAUCUUGGGUGCGGAACGAUACACGAUAGAAAAGACGGUGUUGGAUACUUCGACGUCCGACGAAUAAGCGAUCAUAUAAACAUUGUCAUUCCAUUCUUUGAAAGCUUCCCUGUUUUUUCUGAGUAUAAACAAAAGCAGUUCAAAAUGUUUCAAGCGGUGUGUAAAAUUAUGCACCGAAGAGAACAUCUAACUAAAGAAGGAAUGCAACGUAUUCUUGAUCUAAGAGAUACUAUUAUUGUUGGUAGAAAAAGAAAGUACUCGAAACGACAAAUAUUACAAACAUUUCAAUAGAUUGAAAUCCUCAGAGACCAUACGCCGAGCUUCAUCUCACAGAUGAAGAAGAUAUGGUCCCAUCUGCAUGGCGAC